GGCUGGGGACGGCCCGGAGCCCCCCGGCUCAGCCCCGUGUCCCCCCGGAUCACCCCCGGCCACCGCCCCGCAGCAGGGCCCGGGAUGUGCCCAGUGCCCCCCAGCACCCCGCUGAGCCGAGCCCCAGUCCUGCCCGGGGUGGGGGGCGCUGCUCGGGGGCUGCCCAGCACCGGGGGCACCCGGGGGAGCCCCGGCCCUGGGCAGGGCUCUGUGGGGCCCAGGACCCUAAGGGACGGGGCUGGUCGCUGGGCCAGCACAGGGAGACCCUGCCCCAGAGCAGAGCCACAGCCUCUGGGGACCCUGCCCCUAAAAUCUGGGGUGCUUCUGCCCCACCAGCCCCCUCCCCGGCCUUACAGCCCCGUCCCCGGCCUUACAGCCCCCUCCCUGCCCUCACAGCCCCCUCCCUGCCCCCGGGCCCAUGUCCCGCUGGCGGCAGGCCCAGGCGCGCACACGCGCUGCUGCGCUGGGCUGCAUCUGGCAGGGGGAGGGCUGCUGGCUGUGUUUAUCCCGCUGCUGCUUCUUCGCUCCCCUCCUUUUGCUUCCCAGAAAGUUUCCGCCCGGCCAGGGGAGGCGAGGAGGCUGCCAGAGGCAGGGAGCGCGGCCGCUGCGGGCUCUGCCCUGCGCCUCGGGGCUGGCGGCGCGGCUGCGGGGCGAUGCUGUAGGGCUGGGGAGGCAGCGCCAGGACAGAGCAGCCCCAGAGGUAGGUGUGGGGCAGGGCUGGGGGCGGCUGCCGACCCGGGACGAGUGCCGUGGAGCUGUGCCCCUGUGCCUGCUGUCAGCGGCGGGCUGCCCAGCAGCGGUGUGGACUCACCCAGGAGGUGGCGUGGGUGCACGGGUGCCCUGGGGCAAGUCCCGUCCCCUUGGCCGUGCCCCAGGUAGCCGGGCAAGGACCUUGUCCUACCCGCAAGGGGGUGGUGGGGACCGCAGGGCUGAGCCUCGCGUGUCCUUUGAGGGGACAGCUCAACCUGCAGCAGCCCUGGGAGACUCAGUGCUGGCGCCUGCAGAUCAGGCCCGACAUGGUGUGGGGCUGCACCCUCUCCGUCAGUCCCUGGCUGCCCCCUCCCUGUGCAGCUCCAGCCCCGCUGCCCGCCGGGUCUGGGCUGCUCCCAGUUUGCAAAUGGCUCCGCAAACAUCCCAGCUGCUGGGGCGAGAGGCUGGGGGGAGCCGUCCCUCCAGCACAUCCCUGGACGCCAGAGGCAUCCCAGCUCCCGUUGCUGCGGCUCAGGGGGGGCUGCGUCCACCAUGGGAGGGUGAGGAGGGUGAGGGGGGGCAUGCCGGUCCUGCAGCGCUCUGAACCCCCUCAUCUCUCCCCGGCAUUUGCUCUUCUUUCAUCCUGCUCUUUCAAGCUGCCUGGAAUGUUUUCAGGAUGUUUUGACUUGCAGUCCCGGGGCUUCAGCAGCCGCUGGAUUUAAAUCUCCCAACUGCUCCUGGAGAGCAUCCAGCCCCGACAGGAAAAAACAGAAUCCCUUCAGCAAGACCGGAGAUGCCCGCGCAUACGUGCGUGCUGCCUGGCCGCCGUGCCUGCGGGGCGCGGGGGGGAGACGCCUGCUGGGGGUGCUGGGGAGCCCCGCGUCCUGCAGGCAGCGCCACGUGCGCAGAGCGCGCUCGCCUCCAUUUGCAGCCCUGCAGCAGCCCGCAAGCAGCCUGCCUUUCCCAGGAGGAACAUCCUGGCUAAGGAUUUCUCCUCCCCGCUGAGCAAAGCUGUGUGCUCCCUGGGGCUGAGCCUGCUGCAGGUUCCCGGGAAUCGUCUGGCUCAACGGGAGGCCUGAGCACCGUGGUCCUGGGGCGGGGAGAAAGCCAGGGGCUCCCCGGCAGCGGGCUGCCAUCGCCGGCAUAU
Molecule: long non-coding RNA, 1837 nt
Filed under: Anas platyrhynchos platyrhynchos (common mallard)
Lineage: Eukaryota; Metazoa; Chordata; Aves; Anseriformes; Anatidae
Description: lncRNA (ENSAPLG00000027495.1)
Source: RNAcentral